AAUCUUGUGAACUUCUAUUUAGUUGACUUCAAGCAGUAUGCAGGAAACAGGUCUGUAAAGAAAGACAAUGGAGAUCCUCUGUCUCCUGCUGCCUACUCAUCUUCAUCCUGAACGCUGGCGUGGACACUCCAUAGGCAGUUGACAUGACUGUUGACUCUAUAGCUCAACAACUGCAGUCAGCUUAGCAGUGGGAAGGGUGCAGAGCAGGAGCAAAUUGGAGGAGUUUGAAUGACUCAAGACAUAAGAUGAAAAGAAAGGGAAAUAUCCAAUGAAGAUCUCUGAAAGGAAGGAGGCAUGUUGUCAGGGACUAAACACUGAAGUAUUUUGAGAAAGGCAGAACCAACAUCAUCUUUUGAGGAGCAACUGGUCUACAAUGAGUAGGCUUUCUACAAAAGCAUCCCUGGACCCUGUGUCUCCACUGAGAAGCAAGGGAGGAGUUAUAAACAAGAAAACACCUAGGUCCCAGAUGCCUUUGCACAGUCGCUUAGCUGCCCAAGACCAGGUGUCUUCACAAAGCAGCACUGCAAUCUCCUAGGGGGUUGAUUCCUGUUGGCUUAUGAAUUGAAAAAGUCCUGCCUGCAUGUCCAAUGUCCCAUUAUUGGUAGAUAAGGCAUAAAAUGCAUGUGCCCU
Molecule: non-coding RNA, 630 nt
Organism: Odocoileus virginianus texanus
Lineage: Eukaryota; Metazoa; Chordata; Mammalia; Artiodactyla; Cervidae
Source: RefSeq, a predicted model, not a curated record